CCUACGGGAGGCAGCAGUAAGGAAUAUUGGACAAUGGAGGCAACUCUGAUCCAGCCAUGCCGCGUGCAGGAAGAAGGUCCUAUGGAUUGUAAACUGCUUUUGUACGGGAGAAAACCCUUCUACGUGUAGGAGGCUGAUAGUACCGUAAGAAUAAGCAUCGGCUAACUUCGUGCCAGCAGCCGCGGUAAGACGAAGGAUGCAAGCGUUAUCCGGAUUCAUUGGGUUUAAAGGGUGCGUAGGCGGACGCAUAAGUCAGUGGUGAAAUCUCCAGGCUUAACUUGGAAACUGCCAUUGAUACUGUGUGUCUUGAGUACAGAUGAUGUUGGCGGAAUAUGACAUGUAGCGGUGAAAUGCAUAGAUAUGUCAUAGAACACCGAUUGCGAAGGCAGCUGACAAAACUGUAACUGACGCUGAGGCACGAAAGUGCGGGGAUCAAACAGGAUUAGAUACCCUAGUAGUC
Molecule: ribosomal RNA, 460 nt
Filed under: uncultured bacterium
Lineage: Bacteria
Description: bacterial SSU rRNA
Rfam family: Bacterial small subunit ribosomal RNA
Source: RNAcentral